UGCCAGACUCCUACGGGAGGCAGCAGUGGGGAAUAUUGCACAAUGGGGGAAACCCUGAUGCAGCAACGCCGCGUGAGUGAAGAAGUAUUUCGGUAUGUAAAGCUCUAUCAGCAGGGAAGAAGAAAGACGGUACCUGACUAAGAAGCCCCGGCUAACUACGUGCCAGCAGCCGCGGUAAUACGUAGGGGGCAAGCGUUAUCCGGAUUUACUGGGUGUAAAGGGGGCGUAGACGGCAGAGCAAGUCUGAAGUGAAAGCCCGUGGGUCAACCGCGGAACUGCUUUGGAAACGGUGAAGCUGGAGUACUGGAGAGGGAAGCGGAAUUCCUAGUGGAGCGGGGAAAUGCGUAGAGAUUAGGAGGAACACCAGGGGCG
This 372-nucleotide ribosomal RNA is filed under the name uncultured bacterium. Its description in RNAcentral is "partial 16S ribosomal RNA". It matches the Rfam family "Bacterial small subunit ribosomal RNA", at positions 329 to 717 of the family's 1533-position model. The record is from RNAcentral.